Molecule: long non-coding RNA, 4752 nt
Filed under: Triticum aestivum (bread wheat)
Lineage: Eukaryota; Viridiplantae; Streptophyta; Magnoliopsida; Poales; Poaceae
Description: long non-coding RNA (TAES_LNC002752)
Source: RNAcentral
CACCUCCCACCUGGUCUCCUCUCUUCCCGCCUCCUCCCACGAAACCCUAGCUGCCGCGCCGUGCAGCCGCCGCGCCGUGCAGCCGCCGCCGCUACCGCGCCCUUCUCCUCCUUCCACCUCCUGGCCGGAGCCCAACCACCGCUCUCUCUCCCUCCCCCUACCACCGGCCUCUCCCUAGGUGGCGGCCAGAUCUGCCAUGGCCACAGCCACGACGGAGGCUUCUGGAUCCACGCUGCCGUCGAGCUGGGCACGACCAUCAACCUCAGACCACACCGCCGCCACCAUGGAUGCACCAUAUCAAGGUCUCCUCCCCCGUCCCCUAUGCUUCUUCUUCUUCUUUUCCUUCUCUCUCUAUCUCUCUCAAUCAUCCCUGAUGUGUUCAGAUUUGGUAGGCUUGGUUUCCUCCCUGAUCAUGAUGCGUGUAGACGCAUGCACAAGUUAGGUCUUGUGAUCUAUUUCAGGAAUAGCUGCUGCUGCUAGCCUUGUAGUUAGUUAUAUGUUGUUCGUAUGUAGGAUGUGUACCAGGUUCUUCGUAGGUAGUGUGUGUAAUGAGCUUUUGUUGUCAUGUACCUUUGGUUGGACCAUUGCACUGGUUAUGUAGAUAUAUCCUUUUGAAGUUCUUAUAUCCUGGUGCACGAAAACCACACAAGCCUUUAGAAUAUGUACGUGAAUUGUUUGACUAUGGUCACCUGACCACUACUCCGUGGAUGGUUGGUCCUUCUGCCAUUAGGUAGGAUAUCUUUUGUUUUCCUCUACGAACUACAGGUGCUUGAAAUAAGUCAGCUGGUAGCCAGUUCUUCAAUAAGAACAACUGAGACAGAUUUGAAACAUGAUUUAGAUGUUUCAGAGGUGGUAUAUAGCAGUUCAUUGUCCGUGUAUAUUUUACUGAGACUACAAAUAAAUUUUAAAGCUACUGAUUUAGGCUGAGUAAGCAAAACAUAUAAACAGGAAUAAAGUAAAUUAUUCUUUUAGCAAAUCAGAGUGAGCUUUAUUGAUCCAAGGAUUGUCUAUAGGAAUUGCAAGAAAAUCAUGAGGAAUUUCUUUCAGGUCGCAAUGGCUGACAAAGAGCUUCAGGUUCAUGGUUCACCAGGUUCUGCUGGCUCCACUAACAGUUGCCUGCAAGCACUUGCACAGGUCAGCUGAGAUACGUCUUGCAGACCUACGAGUUGAUUCUUCUAGGAUCUAAUUUUCUAAACGAACUUUCAGUUGCAAUGCACAAAUAUGUUGCUAGAUGAGGUUUAGAACUUAGUUGGCAGAAGCUAUUUUAAGAUUAGUAUAUUGUAGUAUUUCUCUAAGGGAAUUCUGUGAAUAUUUGGUCAUUGCCAACAAAUCUAAAAUAGAAUGGAAGUGAUUGUUUGGAAUGGAUAUUACUCUGCUGCUCAUGUUUGUUACUUUUAUUGCAUACAAUAUUUUGCUUACAUGUUUGCUAAUAAACUUCUGUGAGGACCCCUGCUGGAGACAUAUGGAGUUGAGGAAGAAUGCAAGUGAAUGGAGCUUGUUGAGUUGUUGUUCGCCUGAUCAUAUGUGAUAUGUCGAGUGUGAACUACCCAUUCUCCGCCUCUCCUACAGUCUGUAACAUAAGCGUUAGGCCUGAGCGUGUGAGUCUGUGAGAGUAGAUGGUAGGUCAUUGGAUAUAAAAGGGGCCUUUAGUAGUCCAUUUAUCUUUCCAGAAUGAAGUUGGAAGAGCACGAGCUCCUCUGCUCCACCCUUCGGAUCCCUUCCUCUGUAGUAUUUAGUUUCUUUGUUGUAUGUUGUAUUUAGUUAGUACUUUUCAGAUGGCUUAACUCCCUUUCUCUAUAGUACUUGGAGCCCAUAAGUGGAGGUGUUUGUUCCUCAUAUGCAACCUUAUUAUCUGAUAGAUAGAUUGUGAAACACAGCAGGAGUUUGAGUUUAUUUUCAUUCAGCAGAACACAACAAUAGUAGUAGACUCCCGUAAAAACCAGCAGUCGAACUGAACUAGAAUACUGUGUGUAUUUUAGCUUAAGUAAUCUAGGAUUCACUCCUGGAUGUUAGAGCAACAUAUUUCAAAAUGUAAUUAAUUAAUGUUGCUUCCCACGAAGUAUAUUUCUUUUGUUUCAAUAAGCAUUAUGCACAACUUGAUGCUUUGUGCGACGUCGAGUUCAUCUUAUUAUGUGAAUAUAGUGGUUGGCAUGCUCAAUUUGUCCUCAUUGGCAUCUGAACCUGAGGCUCCCGACUUACUCAAAUGUUCUCCAGUCAUUCCCACCUCUCCUACAAAUGUGAUCAAUUUGGCAUGGGUAUGCGUAUAGUUGGAAUGAGGCACCAUGGGAAGGAUUCAAAUCUCUGAGAAGUGUGCUAAAUCAAUAGUGCCAAGCCAAUCGGUUCAGUUUCAACUUCAAAAACAUUAGGUGAUUGAAAAUGGCAUGCAAUAUUUCUUCAACAAGGCUCCCUAAAUAUUCCCUAUGUUCUAAACUGGAUUCUGACAAGGGUAAAGAUAUCUGAGACAUCCCUCAUUUUAUUUUAAGACCAUUACUUUUUUGCCUACCUCUCCUCAUAUAAUCUCUAACAUGGCCGACUCUCUAUUCUCUGUGGUUUAAGGUGUACACCCUGCUAUUUGGUCAGAAGUUCGGGAGUUCAUAUUUGGUUGUUUGAUCUCGAGAACACCUUUGAUGACCACGAGCAAAUUGGGCGAACCAGAAGGUACUCGACUCAUUCUAUUCUUUUCUUGACUGCAAUUUCCAUCAAGUAAAUAUAUGAUGUAUUCACACUCCAUUAUAAUCAAUAAUUGCCUUACUGUAAAGGACUCAUUCAUUUUGCGUUCAUUAAUCUUGAACUAUAGAUUAAAUCUUUUUGCUGCAUGUUAAGUUAUGUGUGAAAGUAUGAUUAAUAUGAGGCACACAUUCUUUGUUUUAUGGAUAAUACAUUAACUGCUGCAUGUAUAUCAUCACAAGCAAAAAAUGUGUAUUUUUGAACUUUUUUCCUAAAAAAUAUAUUUUCUUAUGUUCUUGUGUAUUUACGUAUGAUGAGUGUGUGAGGGCUUAUGGCUUUUAUGGUGAUGAGUCAUGAUUGUCGCUCAUCUCCACUACCGGUAAUUUAUUUUACACGGUCACCAUCCCAUCUCUUGUUGUUAUGUAUGGUCGAAGUAAAAGAGGCUUUUCCUGCAUUGUUUAUUUGUAUUAGAUGACCAGUACAGGAAGUUGUAGUAGCUUCCCCGUCCUUUUUUUAAUGUAAAUGAUGGUAAGAACGAGUUAGAUUCUAUGUCGACCGGCUGUGCAUAUUAUCACAGGAUGUGCUAUGUUGGAUCGUAUCGAUUUUACUGAUGUAGUACAUGAUUUUAUAUUUUUUACUAGCACAUAUAUAUAUACAUUUAUUAUUCUUUAUACAAAAAUAAACAUAUGUUGAAAUCUACUGAUAAAUGGAAGUAUGCACCUCUUGCUUACUAAUAUAGGAUACUAUUUGCAUAUCUGACCAACUUCGAUUUAAUUUCUGCAUGUUCUUACCUUGGUGACCUUAGUGCACAACCUUAUACACUAAUGGGAAGGAAAUAUAAUACAUAAAAACCUGUGAAAGACCUGGUGGACAAUAAUUUAGCAUGCUUUGUUGUGACAUUUUAGUCGCCUUCUGCUUUAUUGUGACUCUUUCUAUUCAUCCAUUUAGGUACUUCUAGGACACGGACAAUUUCCCUCAAGGUCAAGACCUCACAUCAACGCUUCCAAGCCCCUGAUGAGCCUUUUCCUUUUUUUAAGUUUCUUAAUGUCACUUCUAUAGGUUUACUUGAGAUGUUAUGUUGCAUAUGUUGUGCUGAGGUUUUCCCACUUCCCUUUUAACUUCUCUGAAGUUGAUCAUCACAUGUUUAUGCAAUUGGACCAAAGCGACGACAUUACUUACAGCUAACCCGGUUAACAUAACAGUUAUGAACUAGGAUGAACUUAUACAUGUAGAGAGAGAGAGGUUGUUUAAAGAAUCCAGUACCUUUGUGUUUGCCUACAGAAUUCAAUAUUUGUUCAUGCGGUCAUCCUCGGCCUCUCUCUCUCUCUCUCUAUCUCUCUCUCUCUCUAUGUGUGUGUGUGUGUGUCCUGACUCUUUGUGCCUGUGUUGACCAUUUGUUUGUCCAUGCGAUUUUACUGUGGACUACUCUUUCUAAUUUGGCAUGUAGAUAGGGUCACUUUUAGAUAUUCUAUAGGGUGAUUACUGUUGUUGCAGCGCUGGAUGGCAUGUAGUAGUGCUGGAUCCGGUGGCUAGCCGUCGCCGUUGCCUGUCCUCUUUGAGGCGAGAUCCACGCUGCUCCACUCAGUCCAGGUUCACCCACCUCUCUCUCUCUCUCUCUCUCUCUCUGACGGCUGCUACAUCCAUCAUUUUGGCUUGCAGGUUGCCGGCAUCAUGAAGCUUGAUAAGGUUUCCGGCCGGUUUGCCACAUAACUUGCAGUCUAGGUCGUGGACAUAUUCGGGUUCUAGGUCACAGAAACAAAAUUUGGAGUUAUUUUAUCUGGCUCAAAAUGUUUGGCUCAACAAUUUGCUGCAUUAGAUAUCUUUUUGAGCUUAUUUUUUGUGAAUUCUACAACUUGUAGCAUUGAGCUAAACUGACAUUUGUUUUAGUUAACUUCCAUUCCUGGAUGUUUUUAAACUGAUAUUAUUUCCAUAAGUUCAGGUUUGUACUUGGCUUUAUCAGAAUUAGAAUAUGCAGAACAUGUGUUGGAGAAGUGCCCAUUUGGUUUUAUGAAAUAAUAUUCAUGUUGAUUGCAUUUUGUUAUAGGAAUGCUCAAAGAAUCUAAUGUUUGAUCAUGUUGUUGACAG